AAGUAUUUAUCAACCAAGUCAACAACUCAAGUCAAACAAAAGUCAACCAAAAAUCAAACAAAAAUAAAUUAAAAGGCAAAUUAAAAUGAUUUUAAAUGAAAAAUAAAGAGACAAUUCAAAUCAAGCACCAAAGCAUAAAAGAAAUAGUUGAAAAAAUUAUGAGAAGUCAAGAAUAUUACAAAUAAAAGGACCUAAAAAGUUGGGUGCAAAAAUAUUUUAAAAUGAUUAAAAAAUAAAUUGCAAAAUGAAAUUAAAA
RNAcentral lists this long non-coding RNA (256 nucleotides) under Lathyrus oleraceus (garden pea). RNAcentral describes it as "Pisum sativum (pea) long non-coding RNA (PSAT_LNC009198)". Lineage: Eukaryota; Viridiplantae; Streptophyta; Magnoliopsida; Fabales; Fabaceae. The record is from RNAcentral.